Molecule: long non-coding RNA, 317 nt
Filed under: Amborella trichopoda
Lineage: Eukaryota; Viridiplantae; Streptophyta; Magnoliopsida; Amborellales; Amborellaceae
Description: long non-coding RNA (ATRI_LNC002538)
Source: RNAcentral
ACACAGCCUUUUUGCUGAUUUUACAGAAAAAAACCCAAGAAAAUGAAAAAAGCCACGUUUCUCUCUCUAGAACCACAAGCUUUGAAACCUGCAAAUUACACAGAAAAACCCCAUUAAACCACAGAUUCUUGCUUAUUUUAUAGAAAAAAACCAAAAAAAAUGAAACGAACCUUGUUUCUCUCUCUAAACCUGCUUCAUCCUUCUUAUCAUUAUCCUACGCCACACGACUUAUACAGUUUACUUCAACUCCCAUUUCUCCUAGUCACCAAGGGCAGCUUCCCCAAAUGCUACGAUCCCCUGUUAACAAGCCCUUCUCU